Molecule: transfer RNA, 73 nt
Filed under: Blastochloris sp.
Lineage: Bacteria; Pseudomonadati; Pseudomonadota; Alphaproteobacteria; Hyphomicrobiales; Blastochloridaceae
Description: tRNA-Pro
Rfam family: tRNA
About the family: Transfer RNA (tRNA) molecules are approximately 80 nucleotides in length. Their secondary structure includes four short double-helical elements and three loops (D, anti-codon, and T loops).
Source: RNAcentral
GACUGGUUUAGCUCACUGGUAGAGCGGGUGUGCUGGACACACGGGUGACUGGGUUCGAUUCCCAGACCAGUCU